Molecule: ribosomal RNA, 274 nt
Filed under: uncultured bacterium
Lineage: Bacteria
Description: partial 16S ribosomal RNA
Rfam family: Archaeal small subunit ribosomal RNA
Source: RNAcentral
AAACCAGCACCUCAAGUGGUCAGGAGGAUUAUUGGGCCUAAAGCAUCCGUAGCCUGCUCUGUAAGUUUUCGGUUAAAUCUGUACGCUUAACGUACAGGCUGUCGGGAAUACUGCAGAGCUAGGGAGUGGGAGAGGUAGACGGUACUCGGGAGGAAGUGGUAAAAUGCUUUGAUCUCUCGAUGACCACCUGUGGCGAAGGCGGUCUACCAGAACACGUCCGACGGUGAGGGAUGAAAGCUGGGGGAGCAAACCGGAUUAGAAACCCCAGUAGUCC